This 506-nucleotide ribosomal RNA is filed under the name uncultured bacterium. Its description in RNAcentral is "partial 16S ribosomal RNA". It matches the Rfam family "Bacterial small subunit ribosomal RNA", at positions 29 to 523 of the family's 1533-position model. The record is from RNAcentral.
AGUGAACGCUGGCGGUAGGCCUAACACAUGCAAGUCGAACGGCAGCACAGGAGAGCUUGCUCUCUGGGUGGCGAGUGGCGGACGGGUGAGGAAUACAUCGGAAUCUACUCUGUCGUGGGGGAUAACGUAGGGAAACUUACGCUAAUACCGCAUACGACCUACGGGUGAAAGCAGGGGACCUUCGGGCCUUGCGCGAUUGAAUGAGCCGAUGUCGGAUUAGCUAGUUGGCGGGGUAAAGGCCCACCAAGGCGACGAUCCGUAGCUGGUCUGGGAGGAUGAUCAGCAACACUGAAACUGAGACACGGUCCAGACUCCUACGGGAGGCAGCAGUGGGGAAUAUUGGACAAUGGGCGCAAGCCUUAUCCAGCCAUACCGCGUGGGUGAAGAAGGCCUUCGGGUUGUAAAGCCCUUUUGUUGGGAAAGAAAUCCAGCUGGCUAAUACCCGGUUGGGAUGACGGUACCCAAAGAAUAAGCACCGGCUAACUUCGUGCCAGCCGCCGCAGUAA